RNAcentral lists this transfer RNA (1040 nucleotides) under Bos grunniens (domestic yak). RNAcentral's name for it is "lncRNA (ENSBGRG00000014954.1)". Lineage: Eukaryota; Metazoa; Chordata; Mammalia; Artiodactyla; Bovidae. The record is from RNAcentral.
AUCAAGUCUAGCAUAUUGCUGGUUACAGAAAUCCUUGUCUUUUAUUUUUUCCUUUUCUUUUAAAUUAGCACCUUUCUUCAUUUAUCUAGUUAUCCUUACAUUCAACUGACCAGUUCUUCACUUGAUUCCCUUGCUCACCACAGACAGUUCCUGCUGUGCUCUGUCUCUCCUGUGUCUGGCAUCAAGUAGAACACAAAUAUGUCUUGAGUAAAUGGAUGAUUCUAUGAGAGCCAUUGCUCUUAUUUCUGUAAGCUUUGUGGGGAUAGCGUGGGGGUCAAAGAGCCCAUGCCACUACAGGAAGAUGGGUUAGGAGCAGUGGUGUGCUUGAGCCUACUUGCACCAGAGAGGCACUUCAGCAUGUCUUCCCAACACCAUGAUCAGCGAUCUUAUGUUUGUGGCUUGACAUUGGAUUUGGUGAGAUUAUUUAUACUGUGAAGUUGGAAAACACUGCAAAUCAAUGCUUCCUCCCUCAAGAGCUGGUUGUUAAACACUUACCAACACAGCACUGACUUAGGGCAAUGAAAACAUGUAGAAACAUGCCUAUGUAGAACAAGACCAGUGGUAAGUGAAAUAAAAAGUCAUAGUUGGAGGAACGUAUCACUCUAGAGUUGUGGUGUUCAGAGAUAGGGUUUUAAGUUACCCCAGAUUUGAGAAGACUUGGUAUCCUGAGGCUCUGGAUAGGGGAAAGAAGCCGAAUCUUCAAUACCAGCUCCAGCUAGCAAAAGUGAAGGACAGCAAGGGGGCACCUGGAUUUGAACCAGGGACCUCUUGAUCUGCAGUCAAAUGCUCUACCCCUGAGCUAUACCCCCUGAUAUAAGUGGAAGCCUUAGUACCACCUUUUACCUGUGUAGCCAUGCCCAACAUUCCUAUAAAUUUUUGCCACAAGAUGUUCACCAGGCUGGGCCUGCUCAAAGCUGCCAAACCAGCCUCACUAUAAUUUUACUCCCUUGAUGCCAAACAAACACCGGGUUCCCCCUCCCUGUAACCAGCUCCCUGCUCUUUCUGGAAAAGCACCGACACUGGUGUUUAUGGCAGGAGGG